UACGAAGGGGGCUAGCGUUGUUCGGAUUUACUGGGCGUAAAGCGCACGUAGGCGGACUGGAAAGUUGGGGGUGAAAUCCCGGGGCUCAACCCCGGAACUGCCUUCAAAACUCCCAGUCUGGAGGUCGAGAGAGGUGAGUGGAAUUCCGAGUGUAGAGGUGAAAUUCGUAGAUAUUCGGAGGAACACCAGUGGCGAAGGCGGCUCACUGGCUCGAUACUGACGCUGAGGUGCGAAAGCGUGGGGAGCGAACAGG
RNAcentral lists this ribosomal RNA (253 nucleotides) under uncultured bacterium. RNAcentral's name for it is "partial 16S ribosomal RNA". It matches the Rfam family "Bacterial small subunit ribosomal RNA", at positions 524 to 776 of the family's 1533-position model. The record is from RNAcentral.